AAUCAACGCUGGCGGCGUGCCUCAGACAUGCAAGUCGAACGAGAAAGUUCCCUUCGGGGAAUGAGUAAAGUGGCGCACGGGUGAGUAACACGUAGGUAAUCUACCUUCGGGUGGGGAAUAACCCAGGGAACUUGGGCUAACACCGCAUAAUGCAGCGGCACCACAUGGUGACAGUUGUUAAAGCGGGGGAUUUUAGGACCUCGCGCCUGAAGAGGAGCCUGCGGCGGAUUAGCAGUUGGUAGGGUAACGGCUUACCAAGGCGACGAUCCGUAACCGGCCUGAGAGGGCGGUCGGUCACACUGACACUGACAUACGGGUCAGACUCCUACGGGAGGCAGCAGUCGGGAAUUUUGGGCAAUGGGCGAAAGCCUGACCCAGCAACGCCGCGUGAAGGAU
Molecule: ribosomal RNA, 396 nt
Filed under: uncultured bacterium
Lineage: Bacteria
Description: bacterial SSU rRNA
Rfam family: Bacterial small subunit ribosomal RNA
Source: RNAcentral